AGAGUGAACGCUGGCGGUAGGCCUAACACAUGCAAGUCGAACGGCAGCACAGUGGUAGCAAUACCAUGGGUGGCGAGUGGCGGACGGGUGAGGAAUACAUCGGAAUCCACCUUUUCGUGGGGGAUAACGUAGGGAAACUUACGCUAAUACCGCAUACGCCCUUCGGGGGAAAGCCGGGGAUCGCAAGACCUGGCGCGGAUAGAUGAGCCGAUGUCGGAUUAGCUAGUUGGUGAGGUAAUGGCUCACCAAGGCGACGAUCCGUAGCUGGUCUGAGAGGAUGAUCAGCCACACUGGAACUGAGACACGGUCCAGACUCCUACGGGCGGCAGCAGUGGGGAAUAUUGGACAAUGGGCGCAAGCCUGAUCCAGCCAGUACCGCGUGGGUGAAGAAGGCCUUCGGGUUGUAAACGGCCCUUUUGGUUAGGAAAGAAAGACAAAGUCGGUUAAAUACCCGGUUGU
This 459-nucleotide ribosomal RNA is filed under the name uncultured soil bacterium. RNAcentral describes it as "bacterial SSU rRNA". It matches the Rfam family "Bacterial small subunit ribosomal RNA", at positions 26 to 476 of the family's 1533-position model. The record is from RNAcentral.